GGUGAAAAUGCUAAGCAGAGUCUGACGUGAGACUGAAGAAAUACCUGUGUCCAGGCAGUGAUAAGUAGGAUUGCUGGGAGGGUGAAUGCAUUAGUCACUGUUCCGGUGAACUACAGGGAUGGCUGUUGUCAGCUCAAUGUGGUCUUGUAUGUCACCCCCUUGAGACUGCCCAGAGUAUUCCAGUGAGAUCACCAGUCCUAACUGAAGUUCAUGAUGGGACCAUCUAACUGAGGAGACAGUAUUCCAGCAACUUUUCCAGCAUGAGUCCUUCCCUGCAGUUCUUCACAAACUGCUCCAGAGUGGGUUCCUUCCACAGGGUCAGUCCUUCAGGAACAGCCUGCUCCAACAUGGGUCCCCCACAGGGUCACAAGUCCUGCCAGCAAACCUGCUCUAUCCUGGGAUCUGGUCUCCACAGAUUCUACCAGGACCCUGCUCCAGCACAGGCUUCUCUUGGAGUCACAGCCUCCUUCAGACAUCCCCAUGCUCUGGUAUGGGCUCCUCCAGGGGGCUGCAGGUGGAUCUCUGCACCACUCUGGGCUUCAGGGGCUCAGCCACUUCUCUGUGGGCUGCACCACAGAAUCUCAGGGAAAUCCCAGCUCUGGAGCCUGGAGCAGCUCCUGCCCCUCCUUCUACCCUGGGUGUCUGCAGAGCUGUUCCUCUCAUGUGUUCUCGCCCCAUUCUUCUCUGUACCCAAUUAUUGCUGCGCAAAAACUUUUUUGUUGUUGUUGUUCCUAAAUCCAUUAUUCCCUAGGUGUCACCAUCUUUUCUGCUAGGUUUAACUUUGACAAGUGGCAUGUCUGUCCUGGAGCCUGGGCUGGCAUUGGCUCUGCUGGACAAGGGGGAAGCUUCUGGGAGCUUCUCACAGAAGCCACCCCUGUAGCCCUCCCUCCACUACCAACACCUGGACACACAGACCAAAAUCAGGAAGGGGCAAGUGCUGCAGCCCUGCAGUGUCUGGUAUCACCUCCCCAGGAGAGAGCUGAGAUUCAGCCUUGUUGGCCUGGGCCAGACCGGUGCAAAUAUUCUAUUUGUACAACUGAAUUUGAGGAGAAUGGAAGAGGGAAAAUAACUAGACAUUUUAGAGCAGAGAAUGAAAGAUUGACUUAAUAAACAGAAUUGUGACAUAAUACUGUAAUAUAUCCAGAGGGUCUCUAUGCCUCCUUUGUAUUACCACCCACAAAGUUUGUUUGCAGCUGUGUGGCACCAUCUGCAGACCAACUGAAGGAUGUGUCAUGCCACUGAAAUCUGUUGUUUCAAGACUUGAAAUUGCAUCUAUUGUUUGAUAUUUGACCACAUUUGUAGUUCCUGAAUUAUUCUGUUGACAUUUCAAGAACUGGAUGGUGUUUCUAAGUAAAAGUGAAUCCAUCAACCCUAAACCCUAGUGAAGUCAGAGCACUUCACUUUUAGUCAAAUAAAAUAGUAUCAUUCCUUGUCA
Vidua chalybeata is the source of this 1435-nucleotide long non-coding RNA. RefSeq lists it as uncharacterized. The transcript has 4 exons. The record is from RefSeq and is a predicted model, not a curated record. NCBI's taxonomy places the organism in Eukaryota, Metazoa, Chordata, Aves, Passeriformes, Viduidae.